CCAGACUCCUACGGGAGGCAGCAGUGAGGAAUAUUGGUCAAUGGUCGGGAGACUGAACCAGCCAAGCCGCGUGAGGGAUGAAGGUACAGAGUAUCGUAAACCUCUUUUGUCAGGGAACAAAGGCGGGGACGUGUCCCCGGAUGAGUGUACCUGAAGAAAAAGCAUCGGCUAACUCCGUGCCAGCAGCCGCGGUAAUACGGAGGAUGCGAGCGUUAUCCGGAUUUAUUGGGUUUAAAGGGGACGCAGGCCGGCUUUUAAGGACGGCGUCGAAAGCCGGGGCCCCAACCCGGGCCCGCCGUUGAAACUGGCAGUCUCGAGUUGGAGAGAAGUAUGCGGAAUGCGCGGUGUAGCGGUGAAAUGCAUAGAUAUCGCGCAGAACUCCGAUUGCGAAGGCAGCAUGCCGGCUCCACACUGACGCUGAGGCACGAAAGCGUGGGUAUCGAACAGGAUUAGAUACCCCGGUA
Molecule: ribosomal RNA, 464 nt
Filed under: uncultured bacterium
Lineage: Bacteria
Description: bacterial SSU rRNA
Rfam family: Bacterial small subunit ribosomal RNA
Source: RNAcentral